CGCCCGAACCCUCUCGCACGGGAGAGUCCUCGCACGCGGGACGCGGCUCGACUGGCCUGAUCCUAUCCCCUCUCCUUUCUCCUCGAUCGAUCCAUCCUCCUCGAUCUCUUCUUCCUCGCACCUGGAUCCGCAUCCUCCACGAAUUCUAUCCCUCCCGUAUAGUCAGUCCCGCGCGGGGAAAUAAGUAACUCACUGUAAAAACCAACCUGCCGAGCGCCGAGCCGUACAAUGGACCCCUCACGCUGCCGCCGCGCGCGCUCUCCACACAAAGCGAGGCUAUCUCCGCCGCUGGCAGGCCUGCUCGCGUUUCCUUUCUCCUCCAACCUCCGGCUGCUCUCCGGUAGCUCCGCCCGCCCGCCCGGCCUCCAUCCCGCAGCCCUGUGGCCGAACUCAUCCCAAAACGAGGCCACCACCCUCCGCCAGGAGCGCCUUGGCCACGGGCCGAUGCUGGUGGAUGCCUCCGCUCUGGAGUCUGGAACCAGCGCCGCGCGCGGGAUGGCUUGGCCCGUUGGCUGCUGCCGCGCUAGGAGGAAGCGGGCCGUUGGCCGAUGUCUUGAGCGACAAGCGUGCGUCGAGACGUCGCAGCCAUUGCCUCGUCCAGACCCCUGCAGCUGGAGGUGAGAUGUGUUGGUAACUAUCGUAUGCUCCCAGUACGUUCAACAAUGUAUUGUUUCUCUUGAGCAUGGAAAACUAUCGUAUGCUCCCAAGCGACCGGUUGAUGUUCCUUUAUGUAUUUAGGUAUUACUUAGAUGAAGUCCGGAGAACUUGGAAUUAGCGAGCUCGUGGACACGCCAAGGGCAGGAGGUAUACAUCGCUUGAGCAGAAGCCUGUAUGCAGCGCAUCUCAGUUUUGCCCAAUCUGUAGUAGCACAAUUCAAUCUAUUUAUUCUCUCUUUCUGAUCUCUUUUCUCUGUAUAUGAUCUGCCAUUUUUCUUCCCACCCCUUUGACAUAGAUGAAAAGAAAGAGUGCUCUGAUUAAUACAACUUUAUCUUUGUUGCUACAAGAUUUCAAUAAGUUGCUUUCAACAUGGCCUAUUUUUAUUUCUGGUAGAAAUUGAUAUCGAAUCUGCUGGUGCAUGUUUCUAUUUUUCUCGUGAUUUUCAUUUUCAGGGACUUCAAUCAACUUUUGCCAUGGUAUUGAUACAGCUGCGGCGUUACUCUAUGUGUGUUGUAUUUAUUCAUGUGUCCUUUGUAAUUAGUACCUAAACUAUUCAGUUGCAGGCAAAUUAGAGACACAUAGUUAACAUUGUCUUUGUUGUCUAUCAACGAGCAGACUUUUUUUUU
Molecule: long non-coding RNA, 1283 nt
Organism: Brachypodium distachyon (stiff brome)
Lineage: Eukaryota; Viridiplantae; Streptophyta; Magnoliopsida; Poales; Poaceae
Exons: 2
Source: RefSeq, a predicted model, not a curated record